RNAcentral lists this ribosomal RNA (253 nucleotides) under uncultured bacterium. Its description in RNAcentral is "partial 16S ribosomal RNA". It matches the Rfam family "Bacterial small subunit ribosomal RNA", at positions 524 to 776 of the family's 1533-position model. The record is from RNAcentral.
UACAGAGGGUGCAAGCGUUGUUCGGAAUUAUUAGGCGUAAAGCGCGUGUAGGCGGCUUUGCAAGUCGGGUGUGAAAGCCCUCAGCUCAACUGAGGAAGUGCGCCCGAAACUGCAGAGCUUGAGUGCCGGAGAGGGUGGCGGAAUUCCCCAAGUAGAGGUGAAAUUCGUAGAUAUGGGGAGGAACACCGGUGGCGAAGGCGGCCACCUGGACGGCAACUGACGCUGAGACGCGAAAGCGUGGGGAGCAAACAGG